This 425-nucleotide ribosomal RNA is filed under the name uncultured bacterium. RNAcentral describes it as "partial 16S ribosomal RNA". It matches the Rfam family "Bacterial small subunit ribosomal RNA", at positions 354 to 796 of the family's 1533-position model. The record is from RNAcentral.
GUGGGGAAUCUUGCGCAAUGGGCGAAAGCCUGACGCAGCCAUGCCGCGUGAAUGAUGAAGGUCUUAGGAUUGUAAAAUUCUUUCACCGGGGACGAUAAUGACGGUACCCGGAGAAGAAGCUCCGGCUAACUUCGUGCCAGCAGCCGCGGUAAUACGAAGGGGGCUAGCGUUGCUCGGAAUUACUGGGCGUAAAGGGCGCGUAGGCGGACAGCUUAGUCAGAGGUGAAAGCCCAGGGCUCAACCUUGGAAUUUCCUUGGAUACUGGCUGUCUUGAGUUUGGGAGAGGUGAGUGGAACUCCGAGUGUAGAGGUGAAAUUCGUAGAUAUUCGGAAGAACACCAGUGGCGAAGGCGACUCACUGGCCCAAUACUGACGCUGAGGCGCGAAAGCGUGGGGAGCAAACAGGAUUAGAUACCCGGGUAGUCC